UGCAAAAAUUGAUAAGGCACAACCCAUUUA
RNAcentral lists this non-coding RNA (30 nucleotides) under Mus musculus (house mouse). Lineage: Eukaryota; Metazoa; Chordata; Mammalia; Rodentia; Muridae. The record is from RNAcentral.